GUGGGGAAUAUUGGACAAUGGGGGGAACCCUGAUCCAGCCAUGCCGCGUGUGUGAAGAAGGCCUUUUGGUUGUAAAGCACUUUAAGCGAGGAGGAGGCUACCGAGAUUAAUACUCUUGGAUAGUGGACGUUACUCGCAGAAUAAGCACCGGCUAACUCUGUGCCAGCAGCCGCGGUAAUCCAGAGGGUGCAAGCGUUAAUCGGAUUUACUGUGCGUAAAGCGCGCGUAGGUGGCCAAUGAAGUCAGAUGUGAAAUCCCCGAGCUUAACGUGGGAAUUGCAUUCGGUACUGGUUGGCUAGAGUAUGGGAGAGGAUGGUAGAAUGCCAGGUGUAGCGGUGAAAUGCGUAGAGAUCUGGAGGAAUACCGAUGGCUAAGGCAGCCAUCUGGCCUAAUACUGACACUGAGGUGCGAAAGCAUGGGGAGCAAACAGGAUUAGAAACCCCUGUAGUCC
Molecule: ribosomal RNA, 451 nt
Filed under: uncultured bacterium
Lineage: Bacteria
Description: partial 16S ribosomal RNA
Rfam family: Bacterial small subunit ribosomal RNA
Source: RNAcentral